This is a long non-coding RNA of Megalobrama amblycephala (Wuchang bream), 567 nucleotides long. RefSeq lists it as uncharacterized. The transcript is spliced from 4 exons. NCBI's taxonomy places the organism in Eukaryota, Metazoa, Chordata, Actinopteri, Cypriniformes, Xenocyprididae. The record is from RefSeq and is a predicted model, not a curated record.
GGGGACGGGGGGGACACGUCCCCCGCACUUUUAGAAACUGGUGAUUCUGACCCCUGCUAUUUUUUUGGAUCCAGCGUGAAUAUUUCCGGCACCGGCAGUGUUCUCUGAUUUGUUACUUAGAUUUGAGUGAACUAACAUUCAGCCAAUCACAGAGCGAAUCAUCUCUUGGGCGCGUCUGCUAUGAGCUUCAAAUCUCUUGUUGGUGUUGUGAGUUUUCGUUCGUUCAUUCGCCGUCUGGGAUAAAAUGCACCCCAGAAAAAAAGCAAAGGACGAUUACAUCCUUUUUUCAAACACACACUGAAAGGCAGGCUGUGACGUCACUGACAGAGAGAGGGGACAGUUGCUCAACCUCUCCAGAAUGUGUACAGAGGUCUUGGCAUUGAUUUCUCAGUUCCUGCUUGGAUGAAACAGACACAGCUUUCCAUGAGACCAUGAACCGGAGGUCAGGUGUUGUGCCGUGGUAGCUUACCUCUCCACACAAUCUGACAGACGCGAACAAUGGCUUGAAGCUGGUGCGUCAUGUCCUCCCACUGCAUACAAGAAACUGUUAUACGUGGCCACACCCAC